This 374-nucleotide transfer-messenger RNA is filed under the name Roseivirga sp. It matches the Rfam family "transfer-messenger RNA". Rfam says of the family: Bacterial tmRNA, also known as 10Sa RNA or SsrA, is named for its dual tRNA and mRNA-like properties. Lineage: Bacteria; Pseudomonadati; Bacteroidota; Cytophagia; Cytophagales; Roseivirgaceae. The record is from RNAcentral.
GGGGCCGACUGGAAUUGACAGUAUGUGCAAUGCGAGUGUAAGCAUGCAGGGAGUUGUUAGUAUUUCCCUUAAAUAAAACUUUCAUCCUUUUAAUUGGCGAAAGACAAUACGCCCUUGCUGCCUAAUUAGUAUUAGAUAGCAAUGUGUCUCUCUCACCCCUCGUUCUGCCGGGUGGGAAUGUGAGACAUCAUCAUGCAGAACUAGCGUAAGUGGUUGUCGUGACAUUUACGUAAAAUUAAUCGCGGAUAAGGUUUGGAUUAGGGUGGUUGCUGUCCUUAACAAACUCGAAAAUUAAUCAGCGAAUAAGCAUGUAGAAGGCACUUAGUGUUCCUNNNNNNNNNNGGACGUGGGUUCGAAUCCCUCCGGCUCCACAA